This 232-nucleotide ribosomal RNA is filed under the name uncultured bacterium. Its description in RNAcentral is "partial 16S ribosomal RNA". It matches the Rfam family "Bacterial small subunit ribosomal RNA", at positions 118 to 350 of the family's 1533-position model. The record is from RNAcentral.
UGAGCAACCUGCCCUUAGCUUUGGGAUAACCCUCGGAAAACGGGGGCUAAUACCGAAUGUUCACUGCCGGGCGCAUGUUUGGUGGUGGAAAGUUUUUCGGCUGGGGAUGGGCUCGCGGCCUAUCAGCUUGUUGGUGAGGUAACGGCUCACCAAGGCUUCGACGGGUAGCCGGCCUGAGAGGGCGACCGGCCACACUGGGACUGAGAUACGGCCCAGACUCCUACGGGAGGCA